This is a non-coding RNA of Triticum urartu, 527 nucleotides long. The record is from RefSeq and is a predicted model, not a curated record. NCBI's taxonomy places the organism in Eukaryota, Viridiplantae, Streptophyta, Magnoliopsida, Poales, Poaceae.
GGUGGCGCGAAGUCCUUGCAGGUGGAUGCAUGUUGGCUUCCUCCGGCUGUCACCGACGUGCACUGACAGGUGAGGAACAAAGAAACAUGGAUUGAAUCUAUUGUCGGUAAAGAAAAUGUUGGCUCGGAUGUUAUGGGCACAACCGGUGAGAUGGUUGUUGUGUGGAUAGAGAAUCAGCUCCAUGAAAACAAAACAAAUGAGCUGAUAUUGCAAUAGGUUAACCAGGUUACUUUGUGAUUUGCCUUGCCCUAUACCAUUCUCUGAUGCAAUGUAAUUCGUGAAAGAAAGGUAACAGGUGACAAUACUUUUGCCUUUUAUUCCAGCUGCGUGAGCGUCUACGGAGCCCGAACAGGGAGUCAACAGUCAGCUGUUGUCAGAUCUCGAAAAUGCGGGUUCUUUUACGACCACCAUGGAUCCCUCACCCCAAGUCAUGAUCCAGUUGCUGAAUGUCCACAAGAAAAUUUAUGUAUUAAAGGGACCUCAUUCCCCAAGCUACUCGACGAAAAAUAAAAUGUAUGCAUGUGCCA